UACGUAGGGUGCGAGCGUUAAUCGGAAUUACUGGGCGUAAAGUGUGUGCAGGCGGCAGAGCAAGUCGAGUGUGAAAGCCCCGGGCUUAACUUGGGAAUUGCGCUCGAAACUACUUUGCUGGAGUGUGGCAGAGGAAGGUGGAAUUCCACGUGUAGCGGUGAAAUGCGUAGAGAUGUGGAGGAACACCAAUGGCGAAGGCAGCCUUCUGGGCCAACACUGACGCUCAUGCACGAAAGCGUGGGGAGCAAACAGG
This 253-nucleotide ribosomal RNA is filed under the name uncultured bacterium. RNAcentral's name for it is "partial 16S ribosomal RNA". It matches the Rfam family "Bacterial small subunit ribosomal RNA", at positions 524 to 776 of the family's 1533-position model. The record is from RNAcentral.